AGAGCGAACGCUGGCGGCAGGCCUAAUACAUGCAAGUCGAACGGACCCUUCGGGGUUAGUGGCGGACGGGUGAGUAACACGUGGGAACGUGCCCUUUGGUUCGGAACAACUCAGGGAAACUUGAGCUAAUACCGAAUGUGCCCUUCGGGGGAAAGAUUUAUCGCCAUUGGAGCGGCCCGCGUCUGAUUAGCUAGUUGGUGGGGUAAAGGCUCACCAAGGCUACGAUCAGUAGCUGGUCUGAGAGGAUGAUCAGCCACACUGGGACUGAGACACGGCCCAGACUCCUACGGGAGGCAGCAGUAGGGAAUCUUGCGCAAUGGGCGAAAGCCUGACGCAGCCAUGCCGCGUGAAUGAUGAAGGUCUUAGGAUUGUAAAAUUCUUUCAGCGGGGACGAUAAUGACGGUACCCGCAGAAGAAGCCCCGGCUAACUCGUGCCAGCAGCCGC
RNAcentral lists this ribosomal RNA (445 nucleotides) under uncultured bacterium. RNAcentral's name for it is "SSU rRNA". It matches the Rfam family "Bacterial small subunit ribosomal RNA", at positions 26 to 518 of the family's 1533-position model. The record is from RNAcentral.